CCUACGGGGGGCAGCAGUGGGGAAUAUUGCACAAUGGGCGCAAGCCUGAUGCAGCCAUGCCGCGUGUGUGAAGAAGGCCUUCGGGUUGUAAAGCACUUUCAGCGGGGAGGAAGGCGGUGAGGUUAAUAACCUCAUCGAUUGACGUUACCCGCAGAAGAAGCACCGGCUAACUCCGUGCCAGCAGCCGCGGUAAUACGGAGGGUGCAAGCGUUAAUCGGAAUUACUGGGCGUAAAGCGCACGCAGGCGGUCUGUCAAGUCGGAUGUGAAAUCCCCGGGCUCAACCUGGGAACUGCGUUCGAAACUGGCAGGCUAGAGUCUUGUAGAGGGGGGUAGAAUUCCAGGUGUAGCGGUGAAAUGCGUAGAGAUCUGGAGGAAUACCGGUGGCGAAGGCGGCCCCCUGGACAAAGACUGACGCUCAGGUGCGAAAGCGUGGGGAGCAAACAGGAUUAGAUACCCUAGUAGUC
Molecule: ribosomal RNA, 465 nt
Filed under: uncultured Klebsiella sp.
Lineage: Bacteria; Pseudomonadati; Pseudomonadota; Gammaproteobacteria; Enterobacterales; Enterobacteriaceae
Description: bacterial SSU rRNA
Rfam family: Bacterial small subunit ribosomal RNA
Source: RNAcentral